GUGCUCACUUCAGUAGCACAUAUACUAAAAUUGGAACAAUACAGAGAAGAUUAGCAUGGCUGCUGCACAAGGAUGACACAAAUUCAUGAAGUGUUCCAUAUUUUU
This 105-nucleotide small nuclear RNA is filed under the name Carlito syrichta (Philippine tarsier). Lineage: Eukaryota; Metazoa; Chordata; Mammalia; Primates; Tarsiidae. The record is from RNAcentral.